RNAcentral lists this long non-coding RNA (375 nucleotides) under Rattus norvegicus (Norway rat). Its description in RNAcentral is "long non-coding RNA NONRATT032916". The record is from RNAcentral. Lineage: Eukaryota; Metazoa; Chordata; Mammalia; Rodentia; Muridae.
UAGCAACAUGCAUUUUGGAGAGAAUGGAGUAUCCACUUCUGUAAGAUAUUUCUGUAGUUGUAGAAAUUAUUCUGGGGAAAUUACUUUUUUUCCCCUCCUUAUCAUUUAAUAGUCUGCUGUGAAGUGCAUCCGCCCUCUGGAGAGAUAGGCUCGCUCCAUAAUCGUGUUGCUGCUGAGAAAAGGCCCCUACUGACACUUUUCAUCAACCCCACACCAAUCUUUUCUACAGACCCAGCUCCUCAUCUACCGUGGCUUGCCAAGGACCAUGACCUCCCUCAGACCCCUCUCCAUCCUUCCGGGACUCACCAGCUCUUAGCCUGCUUACCUCCGGUGACUCUCCACACAUAACCUAAAACCCAAACCAUCCGCCCUCCC